RNAcentral lists this ribosomal RNA (323 nucleotides) under uncultured eukaryote. RNAcentral describes it as "partial 18S ribosomal RNA". It matches the Rfam family "Eukaryotic small subunit ribosomal RNA", at positions 1470 to 1796 of the family's 1831-position model. The record is from RNAcentral.
UCCUUAGAUGUCCUGGGCAGCACGCGUGCUACAAUGAUGCAUUCAACGAGUCUUGCCUUAACCGAAAGGUUCGGGUAAACUUUUGAAAUUGCAUCUUGUCGGGGCUUGAUCAUUGUAAUUUUUGAUCACAGACAAGGAAUUCCUUGUAAAUGUGAGUCAUCAACUUGCAUUGAAUACGUCCCUGCCCUUUGUACACACCGCCCGUCGCUUCUACCGAUGAAUGAUCCGGUGAACACUCUGGACUUGUUGUCUGUCGGAGCAAUCCAAAGACGAUAGGGAAGUUGUGUAAACCUUAUCAUUUAGAGGAAGAAGAAGUCGUAACA